UGAGGAACAUGACCUUCGGCGGGGGAUAGCCGGCCCAACGGCCGGGUAAUACCGCGUACGACCACAUGGGGACAUCCCUGAGUGGUGAAAGCAGCAAUGCGCCGAUGGAGUGCCUCGCGGCCUAUCAGCUAGUUGGCGAGGUAACGGCUCACCAAGGCGACGACGGGUAGCUGGUCUGAGAGGAUGGCCAGCCACAUUGGGACUGAGACACGGCCCAGACUCUACGGGAGG
RNAcentral lists this ribosomal RNA (231 nucleotides) under uncultured bacterium. RNAcentral describes it as "partial 16S ribosomal RNA". It matches the Rfam family "Bacterial small subunit ribosomal RNA", at positions 118 to 348 of the family's 1533-position model. The record is from RNAcentral.